RNAcentral lists this long non-coding RNA (724 nucleotides) under Pan troglodytes (chimpanzee). RNAcentral's name for it is "long non-coding RNA NONPTRT009176". The record is from RNAcentral. Lineage: Eukaryota; Metazoa; Chordata; Mammalia; Primates; Hominidae.
GCGGUCGCAGGGUAAUGACGUCGGCCGUAUCGGGGAUGCUGGAACCUGCGGUUGAGUGAGAAACCGGCGCCACCGCCUGCGUCUUGGUCUCGGGCUGGUGGCCAGCGGGGUCUGGGCUGUGGUUUUACCCAGCUCCUUUGCGAAGCUGCUGUCCUUUCCUCAACGUUACCACCCGGCUGGGCAGCCUACCCUCGCAGCAACAGGUGUGCACCUUCCAAGCUUGCAACAGACCACAUUCAGAAGCUUGAUUUCCUGUUGUUCUGGGAAUAUCUGGAUCAGAGGUAACAUGGUUCACUAGGACUCCUCAGCUUCACCCAGUGUCCAUUUCACCUCCCCCGGCCUUCCAAUGUCUCUUCUUGCAGAUUUCUCCAAGCCACUCUCCCCUUCAUCUCCUCCACCCCCAGGACCCAACUCCUGCCCCUCCCACCCUAGCCCCUGUUCUCCCUGCCCAUCUCCUACCCCACUGGAGUGGCCUUUCAUCAAACCUAAACCAAAGAAACCAACAGACCUUGCUGUCACCACUACUCCGGGACCUGGAAGUUAAAGCGAGGGAGAGACGGUGAAACACAGAAAGCAGAACGCCUUCUGUUCUUCCACAACACAGGGUUUGUGGACGUGGCCACUAUAAGAACUCGCACUGCGUGCUGAUUAUACUCCUCAGCACAAUUCAUUUCUUAAACUUUUUAGAAUAAUUUAAAAUUUACAAAAAGUUGCAAAAAUAAAA